RNAcentral lists this ribosomal RNA (389 nucleotides) under uncultured bacterium. RNAcentral describes it as "bacterial SSU rRNA". It matches the Rfam family "Bacterial small subunit ribosomal RNA", at positions 29 to 417 of the family's 1533-position model. The record is from RNAcentral.
AUUGAACGCUGGCGGAAUGCUUUACACAUGCAAGUCGAGCGGCAGCGCGGGGGCAACCCUGGCGGCGAGCGGCGAACGGGUGAGUAAUACAUCGGAACGUGUCCUUGAGUGGGGGAUAGCUCGGCGAAAGCCGGAUUAAUACCGCAUAAGCUCUGAGGAGGAAAGCGGGGGAUUCGCAAGGACCUCGCGCUGUUGGAGCGGCCGAUGUCGGGUUAGCUAGUUGGUGGGGUAAAGGCCCACCAAGGCGACGAUCCGUAGCUGGUCUGAGAGGAUGAUCAGCCACACUGGAACUGAGACACGGUCCAGACUCCUACGGGAGGCAGCAGUGGGGAAUUUUGGACAAUGGGGGCAACCCUGAUCCAGCCAUUCCGCGUGAGUGAAGAAGGCCU